AGAGUUCGAUUAUGGCUCAGGACGAACGCUGGCGGCGCGCCUAACACAUGCAAGUCGAACGGAGAAUGUGAGACGGAAGCCUUCGGGCGGAAGACUUAUAUUCUUAGUGGCGGACGGGUGAGUAACACGUGAGCAACCUGCCUUCAAGAGUGGGAUAGCACCUGGAAACGGGUGGUAAUACCGCAUGAGACCACAGCAUCGCAUGAUGCAGAGGUCAAAGGAGCAAUCCGCUUGAAGAUGGGCUCGCGUCCGAUUAGAUAGUUGGUGAGGUAACGGCUCACCAAGUCGACGAUCGGUAGCCGGACUGAGAGGUUGAACGGCCACAUUGGGACUGAGACACGGCCCAG
Molecule: ribosomal RNA, 347 nt
Filed under: uncultured bacterium
Lineage: Bacteria
Description: bacterial SSU rRNA
Rfam family: Bacterial small subunit ribosomal RNA
Source: RNAcentral